UACGUAGGUGGCAAGCGUUAUCCGGAAUUAUUGGGCGUAAAGCGCGCGCAGGUGGUUUCUUAAGUCUGAUGUGAAAGCCCACGGCUCAACCGUGGAGGGUCAUUGGAAACUGGGAGACUUGAGUGCAGAAGAGGAAAGUGGAAUUCCAUGUGUAGCGGUGAAAUGCGUAGAGAUAUGGAGGAACACCAGUGGCGAAGGCGACUUUCUGGGCUGCAACUGACACUGAGGCGCGGAAGCGUGGGGAGCAAACAGG
Molecule: ribosomal RNA, 253 nt
Filed under: uncultured bacterium
Lineage: Bacteria
Description: partial 16S ribosomal RNA
Rfam family: Bacterial small subunit ribosomal RNA
Source: RNAcentral